UGGGGAAUUUUGGACAAUGGGGGAAACCCUGAUCCAGCCAUCCCGCGUGUGCGAUGAAGGCCUUCGGGUUGUAAAGCACUUUUGGCAGGAAAGAAACGUCGUGGGUUAAUACCCCGCGAAACUGACGGUACCUGCAGAAUAAGCACCGGCUAACUACGUGCCAGCAGCCGCGGUAAUACGUAGGGUGCAAGCGUUAAUCGGAAUUACUGGGCGUAAAGCGUGCGCAGGCGGUUCGGAAAGAAAGAUGUGAAAUCCCAGAGCUUAACUUUGGAACUGCAUUUUUAACUACCGGGUUAGAGUGUGUCAGAGGGAGGUGGAAUUCCGCGUGUAGCAGUGAAAUGCGUAGAUAUGCGGAGGAACACCGAUGGCGAAGGCAGCCUCCUGGGAUAACACUGACGCUCAUGCACGAAAGCGUGGGGAGCAAACAGGAUUAGAUACCCUGGUAGUCCACGCCCUAAAACGAUGUCAACUAGCUGUUGGGGUCUUCGGACCUUGGUAGCGCAGCUAACGCGUGAAGUUGACCGCCUGGGGAGUACGGUCGCAAGAUUAAAACUCAAAUGAAUUGAC
This 567-nucleotide ribosomal RNA is filed under the name uncultured bacterium. Its description in RNAcentral is "partial 16S ribosomal RNA". It matches the Rfam family "Bacterial small subunit ribosomal RNA", at positions 355 to 914 of the family's 1533-position model. The record is from RNAcentral.